Molecule: long non-coding RNA, 659 nt
Organism: Rhodamnia argentea
Lineage: Eukaryota; Viridiplantae; Streptophyta; Magnoliopsida; Myrtales; Myrtaceae
Exons: 2
Source: RefSeq, a predicted model, not a curated record
AUAGUUUCAGCAAAUCCGCAGGCAAUUUCUGUUUUUUUUUUUGUUUGUUUUUUUGUUUGUUUGUGCUUAAGCUGUAAAUUAGUCUGCUAAGUGUUUUUCCCUCUUUGUUUGCAGCUUCACGCAGCAAGAUGGAGCAAGAGGCUCGGAAAGAAUGCGCCAAACAUAUUAUAAACCUUCAAGAAUGUGCCCCCGACGGGAUAGCCUUUCAUGAGAUCUGGUGGAAGUGUCGCAAACAAAAAAAAGAACUGGAAAUUUGCCUGGGUCAAUACGGCAGGGAUACAGCUGUCUUGGAAGAGAUGAAAAGGGAGUAUAACCUACACCCAAAAGGAGGGAAAGGCCCAGCCGAACGUUGAGCGACCUGCAGAUUUUGCCUACAGUCUUGCUUGCGUAUGUUGGAAUCAAGAAGUCGUAGGCUUGUACCAUCUUCAGACAAGACCUUUAAGGUUUCCGUCGGAAGAUUUUCGUUUGGCAUACGUUGUCCGAACUAUAAUCAGGUGAACCUGAAAAUAUCUCGUUGCUGCAGAAUUCGUGCUUUGUAUCACAAGGCGUUAUGUUCUCUUUGUCCUUCCCCUCUUCGCUUCCAUCACCUUUGAGGCUGAAUUAAGUUUAUUAACAAUUUGCUACCUCUCUUUAGGAAUUACUCAUCUUAAUUACACUAA